CAAUAGCGUAUAUUUAAGUUGUUGCAGUUAAAAAGCUCGUAGUUGGAUUUCGGGUGGGACGCAGCGGUCUCGCAUUGCGUUUGUACUGCUGCAGCCCUCCUUCUUGCCGGGGGCGGCCUCUCGGACUUCACUGUCUGGGGGUCAGAAUCGGAGAUGUUACUUUGAGUAAAUUAGAGUGUUCAAAGCAAGCUUACGCUCUGAAUAUAAUAGCAUGGGAUAACACGACAGGACUCUGGCCUAUCGUGUUGGUCUAUAGGACCAGAGUAAUGAUUAAGAGGGACAGUCGGGGGCAUUCGUAUUCCGUUGUCAGAGGUGAAAUUCUUGGAUUUACGGAAGACGAACAUCUGCGAAAGCAUUUGCCAAGGAUGUUUUCAUUGA
This 378-nucleotide ribosomal RNA is filed under the name uncultured eukaryote. Its description in RNAcentral is "partial 18S ribosomal RNA". It matches the Rfam family "Eukaryotic small subunit ribosomal RNA", at positions 592 to 976 of the family's 1831-position model. The record is from RNAcentral.